UACGGAGGGUGCUAGCGUUAUCCGGAUUUACUGGGUUUAAAGGGUGCGUAGGUGGGCAGGUAAGUCAGUGGUGAAAUCUUCAAGCUUAACUUGGAAACUGCCAUUGAUACUAUUUGUCUUGAAUAUCCUGGAGGUAAGUGGAAUAUGUCAUGUAGCGGUGAAAUGCUUAGAUAUGACAUAGAACACCCAUUGCGAAGGCAGCUUACUACGGGAUUAUUGACACUGAGGCACGAAAGCGUGGGGAUCAAACAGG
Molecule: ribosomal RNA, 253 nt
Filed under: uncultured bacterium
Lineage: Bacteria
Description: partial 16S ribosomal RNA
Rfam family: Bacterial small subunit ribosomal RNA
Source: RNAcentral